Molecule: long non-coding RNA, 359 nt
Organism: Talpa occidentalis (Iberian mole)
Lineage: Eukaryota; Metazoa; Chordata; Mammalia; Eulipotyphla; Talpidae
Exons: 3
Source: RefSeq, a predicted model, not a curated record
GCCAGACUCACCUGUCUGUAACCUGACCAGCUGCACGCUCAGCCCAUAGGGUCGGGAAAUCUACACAGCGGUUUUCCCCCAUCUUCUUCCGCCCCGGAAUGGCCCUUGGGGACACAGCAGCCUGAACAACCGACUAAGACUGAAAAAGACUUCGAUUCGGUGAUUGCUUCAAGGGCAGAGCUGAGAUCCAAACUGAACCAGCACCUGAUAGGCACCAUUGCUGAGACUUUCUCUUUUUCUGAGAUUGAGAACAGAUGAGAGACAACCUGGGGCAAGCAGCCACCUUCAUGACCAGCAGCUGCCUGAGGAUGAUGCCAACACAGAGGAGAGCAAAGCCAAAUGAUGUAGAGAGCAAGACU